Molecule: transfer RNA, 87 nt
Filed under: Daldinia caldariorum
Lineage: Eukaryota; Fungi; Ascomycota; Sordariomycetes; Xylariales; Hypoxylaceae
Description: tRNA-Arg
Rfam family: tRNA
About the family: Transfer RNA (tRNA) molecules are approximately 80 nucleotides in length.
Source: RNAcentral
GCCUGCAUGUAGUAGUGGUUAACUUAUCGGCCUCCGACUCUUUCUGUCAGACAGCCGGGAACCCGGGUUCGAAUCCCGGUGCAGGUG